UCCUGGCUCAGGACGAACGCUGGCGGCACGCUUAACACAUGCAAGUCGAACGAGAGAAGAGAAGCUUGCUUUUCUGAUCUAGUGGCGGACGGGUGAGUAACACGUGAGCAAUCUGCCUUUCAGAGGGGGAUACCGAUUGGAAACGAUCGUUAAUACCGCAUAACAUAAUUGAACCGCAUGAUUUGAUUAUCAAAGAUUUAUCGCUGAAAGAUGAGCUCGCGUCUGAUUAGCUAGUUGGUAAGGUAACGGCUUACCAAGGCGACGAUCAGUAGCCGGACUGAGAGGUUGAUCGGCCACAUUGGGACUGAGACACGGCCCAGACUCCUACGGGAGGCAGCAGUGGGGAAUAUUGCACAAUGGAGGAAACUCUGAUGCAGCGAUGCCGCGUGAGGGAAGAAGGUUUUAGGAUUGUAAACCUCUGUCUUCAGGGACGAAAAAAGACGGUACCUGAGGAGGAAGCUCCGGCUAACUACGUGCCAGCAGCCGCGGUAAUACGUAGGGAGCGAGCGUUGUCCGGAAUUACUGGGUGUAAAGGGAGCGUAGGCGGGAUCGCAAGUCAGAUGUGAAAACUAUGGGCUUAACCCAUAAACUGCAUUUGAAACUGUGGUUCUUGAGUGAAGUAGAGGUAAGCGGAAUUCCUAGUGUAGCGGUGAAAUGCGUAGAUAUUAGGAGGAACAUCAGUGGCGAAGGCGGCUUACUGGGCUUUAACUGACGCUGAGGCUCGAAAGCGUGGGGAGCAAACAGGAUUAGAUACCCUGGUAGUCCACGCCGUAAACGAUGAUUACUAGGUGUGGGGGGACUGACCCCUUCCGUGCCGCAGCAAACGCAAUAAGUAAUCCACCUGGGGAGUACGACCGCAAGGUUGAAACUCAAAGGAAUUGACGGGGGCCCGCACAAGCAGUGGAGUAUGUGGAUUAAUUCGAAGCAACGCGAAGAACCUUACCAGGUCUUGACAUCGUAUGCAUAGCUCAGAGAUGAGUGAAAUCUCUUCGGAGACAUAUAGACAGGUGGUGCAUGGUUGUCGUCAGCUCGUGUCGUGAGAUGUUGGGUUAAGUCCCGCAACGAGCGCAACCCUUACUGUUAGUUGCUACGCAAGAGCACUCUAGCAGGACUGCCGUUGACAAAACGGAGGAAGGUGGGGAUGACGUCAAAUCAUCAUGCCCUUUAUGACCUGGGCCUCACACGUACUACAAUGGCUGUCAACAGAGGGAAGCAAAGCCGCGAGGUGGAGCAAACCCCUAAAAGCAGUCUUAGUUCGGAUUGUAGGCUGCAACCCGCCUACAUGAAGUCGGAAUUGCUAGUAAUCGCAGAUCAGCAUGCUGCGGUGAAUACGUUCCCGGGCCU
RNAcentral lists this ribosomal RNA (1344 nucleotides) under uncultured bacterium. Its description in RNAcentral is "16S ribosomal RNA". It matches the Rfam family "Bacterial small subunit ribosomal RNA", at positions 17 to 1381 of the family's 1533-position model. The record is from RNAcentral.